GUGACACUCACAGAGAACGGCAAAAGCUCAGCCUCAAACACACACACACACACACACACACACACAUAUAUAACAGCAGAUCUCAACAGGAUACUGCAGUCAGUCACAGGCACAUGAACUCUGGAGGAAAUGGAGUGACAAGAAAAAGGAAGACACAAAUCACACCGUGCCAUGUGUGCAGGGAAACAGAUUGUCCGCUAUCAGCUGUGAUGGUGCGCGGAGGAAGAAUGCGAGCAUGCAGCGAAGUCAAACAAAAGUGCCUCAGAUGAAUAUUCCUGAAACAGGACAUGAUGGACUUGCUAAAACCGAAUCACGCACUUAUCCUGCAC
Long non-coding RNA from Sinocyclocheilus anshuiensis, 329 nucleotides. RefSeq lists it as uncharacterized. NCBI's taxonomy places the organism in Eukaryota, Metazoa, Chordata, Actinopteri, Cypriniformes, Cyprinidae. The transcript is spliced from 3 exons. The record is from RefSeq and is a predicted model, not a curated record.